RNAcentral lists this transfer RNA (69 nucleotides) under Micropotamogale ruwenzorii (Ruwenzori otter shrew). Its description in RNAcentral is "tRNA-Ile". Lineage: Eukaryota; Metazoa; Chordata; Mammalia; Afrosoricida; Tenrecidae. The record is from RNAcentral.
AGAAGCAUGUCUGACAAUAGAGUUACUUUGAUAGAGUAAAUAAUAAAGGUUAUAGCCCUUUUGCUUCUA